This 537-nucleotide small RNA is filed under the name Pongo abelii (Sumatran orangutan). RNAcentral's name for it is "processed transcript". The record is from RNAcentral. Lineage: Eukaryota; Metazoa; Chordata; Mammalia; Primates; Hominidae.
AAGCCCUGAUUUCCCUGACCCUCCCAGGUCAAGGGGUGGCUGGGUUGAGGGUGGACGGUGCGAGGCCUGGCGGAGCUGUAGCCCACGCAGGUCCAGGUGGUCGGGAGGCCACUCAUGGCCAGAUGCUUCCGGUGCAGGAGGCCUUGCUCUUGUGUUGAGGGGACACCAGGAUGAGGUCAGAGAGUGCACUGGGGUUCAGGGAGGAGAAGAAUCCUGAGAGAUGGCACAUGUGCAACACAGGUCACCGUCGCCAUCGCCCGGGCCCACCGAAAGCAUCACUAAUCCAUCCCUGCACUCCUGGAAAGCCGGGUCAGCCUCUGCCGGCUGAGCUGAGUGGACCACCAGGCGCCUCCUGGUUGUCCUCUGUGUGCUGUUGUCCUCUGUGUGCUCUUGUCCUGGGCUGGACCACACCUGAAUAUUCCAGCCACCAAAGUGCUCAGCAGGAGCUGCCAUGUAAGAGUCCCCCAUGAGGCCCAAGCACCUGAGCUUAGUGACGUGCACGGUUGAACGCUGGGAGACUGCUGGGAGCCUGCUGUU